UACGGCGGGGGCUAGCGUUGUUCGGAAUUACUGGGCGUAAAGCGCGCGUAGGCGGGCUGUUAAGUCGAGGGUGAAAUCCCGGGGCUCAACCCCGGAACUGCCUUCGAUACUGGCAGCCUAGAGGUCGGGAGAGGUGAGUGGAAUGCCGCAUGUAGAGGUGAAAUUCGUAGAUAUUCGGCGGAACACCCGUGGCGAAGGCGGCUCACUGGCACGAUACUGACGCUGAGGUGCCAAAGCGUGGGGAACAAACAGG
Molecule: ribosomal RNA, 253 nt
Filed under: uncultured bacterium
Lineage: Bacteria
Description: partial 16S ribosomal RNA
Rfam family: Bacterial small subunit ribosomal RNA
Source: RNAcentral